ACGCGUUGGGAGCUCUCCCAUAUGGUCGACCUGCAGGCGGCCGCGAAUUCACUAGUGAUUAGAGUUUGAUCAUGGCUCAGAACGAACGCUUUCGGUAUGCUUAACACAUGCAAGUCGAACGGAUUUAUUUAGAGCUUGCUUUAAUAAAUUAGUGGCAGACGGGUGAGUAACACGUGGGAAUCUGCCCAUCAGUACGGAAUAACAUUUAGAAAUAAUUGCUAAUACCGUAUAUUCUCUUUGGAGGAAAGAUUUAUCGCUGAUGGAUGAGCCCGCGCCAGAUUAGGUAGUUGGUAGGGUAAUGGCCUACCAAGCCAAUGAUCUGUAGCUGGUUUGAGAGAAUGAUCAGCCACACUGGGACUGAGACACGGCCCAGACUCCUACGGGAGGCAGCAGUGGGGAAUAUUGGACAAUGGGCGAAAGCCUGAUCCAGCAAUACCGAGUGGGUGAUGAAGGCCUUAGGGUUGUAAAGCCCUUUUCAGCAGGGAAGAUAAUGACGGUACCUGACCAAGAAAGCCCCGGCUAACUCCGUGCCAGCAGCCGCGGUAAUACAAUCGAAUUCCCGCGGCCGCCAUGGCGCCCGGGAGCAUGCGACGUC
RNAcentral lists this ribosomal RNA (595 nucleotides) under uncultured Alphaproteobacteria bacterium. RNAcentral describes it as "bacterial SSU rRNA". It matches the Rfam family "Bacterial small subunit ribosomal RNA", at positions 1 to 562 of the family's 1533-position model. The record is from RNAcentral. Lineage: Bacteria; Pseudomonadati; Pseudomonadota; Alphaproteobacteria.